Long non-coding RNA from Chelonia mydas (Green sea turtle), 6731 nucleotides. RefSeq lists it as uncharacterized. The record is from RefSeq and is a predicted model, not a curated record. NCBI's taxonomy places the organism in Eukaryota, Metazoa, Chordata, Testudines, Cheloniidae. The transcript has 3 exons.
GCCCAGCGCCCGGAGCCCGGCCUCGGCACUGCCCCGGCUCCGCGACCCAGGCUGUGCCCCCGGUCAGGCUGUGCCCCUCAUCCCCCUGGGUCAGGCUGUGCCCCUCAUCCCCUUGGGUCAGACUGUGGCCCUCCUCUCCCAUAGCCCCCGGUCAGGCUGUGCCCCUCAUCCCCCUGGGUCAGGCUGUGCCCCUCAUCCCCUUGGGUCAGACUGUGGCCCUCCUCUCCCAUAGCCCCUGGGUCAGGCUGUGCCCCUCAUCCCCCUGGGUCAGGCUGUGCCCCUCAUCCCCCUGGGUCAGGCUGUACUCCUCCUCUCCCAUAGCCCCUGGGUCAGGCUGUGCCCCUCAUCCCCCUGGGUCAGGCUGUGGCCCUCCUCUCCCAUAGCCCCUGGGUCAGGCUGUGGCCCUCCUCUCCCAUAGCCCCUGGGUCAGGCUGUGGCUCUCCUCUCCCAUAGCCCCUGGGUCAGGCUGUGCCCCCCCCCCCCCCAUAUCUACCAGUCAGACUGUGCCCCUCAUCAGACUGUGUCCGUCAUCCCCAAUCAGACUGUGCCCCAACUUCUACAACCCCAUGUCAGACUCUGCUUCCCGUCAGACUGUGCCCCACCACUCCCAUAGCCCCUGGGUCAGACUGUGUCCCCCCCACAUCUACCAGUCAGAUUGUGUCCCUCAUCCCCAAUUAGACUGUGCCCCGACUCCUAUAACCCCAUGUUAGACUGUGUCCCCCACUCCCAUGCCUCCAGUUAGACUGUGCCCCUCUGAUUGUGCUCUUCACCCCCAUACUUGCCAGUCAGAUUGUGUCCCCAUCAGAUUGUGCAUCUCAUCUUGUCAGACUGUGCCCAGACUCCUACAACCCCAUGUCAGACUGUUCCCCCCAUCAGACUGUUCCCCACCACCACUCCCAGGCCCCUUGUCAGACCAUGCCCUGCACUCCCCAUACUCAUGGGCCAGACAGACUCUGCCUCUUCCACAUCCAGGUUCCCUAGCCAGACUGUGCCCCUCACUUCUCACAUGCCCCAACCCCCAUCUGCUCCCGGUCAGACUGUGUCCCCCCCAUCCCUUCACUCCAGCUCCCCCCACCCCCACCCCCCGACUGUGCUUCUCCUCCCUCCAUUCCCCCUCCCAUCUCCACCUUGUUAUAUUUCCUUGAUCAGGCUGCAUCCCCUCAUCUCCUGUGGGGGUGGGGGGGUUGUGAGGGUGCUAGGCUGUCAUUAGGCUCAGUGGCAGCAUUUUGCCCGCUUUAGAAGAACUCUCAUUGCACCUCUGCUAUGGUGCCACCCCAAGGUAGAAGACAUGGAGGCCCCCUUAGGUCAGGGAUAAGAACAGUCCUAGGGGAGUGUUAAUUCUUGUGUCGCAGCUCUUUGGCUUCUCCCUAUAGCUUUGUGAAGUCCUCUAUGUUCCUUGAGGUUUUACAUAUUGUUUUGCUGCCUAGAAAUAACAGGGCAAACAUCCUUUCACCCCUGCUGUUCUCUCCAGAGGGUCAGCACAGUACUGACUGAGAUAUUGGAGGCUUGUUUGUGGUGCAUGGUUUUUUUUCCUGGGGCUGGAGAGCAGAUGUAUCUUGUCAGAGCCAUCUCAUAAAUAGUCUUCAUGUACACCCAGUUCUGGUGAUGACUCUGCCUCUGACAUUGUUGCCCUCUUCUCACAUGUGGGCGUUCUCAUCAUUCUGCUCAAGAUCAUUACACCGGUCCCAGUUCUGAGCUUCUCCUCUUUUAGUGAAGGAUAGUCAUUUGUGAGGGCUAUUUAAUCAUCAUUUCAGCACAUAUGCUGGAGUCUGGUGCUGGAGACCUUGUGUCACUUCUUGAUUUAAAACCAUUGAGACCAAUGGUGCUCUUCUCAGUGUGGGGGAGAUGGUUCUUUAGCUGUGACAAUACAGGAGGAAGUCUACCAAACUGCAAAACCCUGAGCAUUCUGAGCAGAUCCCAGCCACGCUCUGCAAACAGGUGGUUAUAUUUCAGCUGUCAGUCUAUUUUAAAGAUCAAGGACUUUCUAGAUCCUCUAGUACACCUGAAGGGUUGGAUGUUUGAAAUUCUUCCCACAGAAGGCCGGAUGAGCCCUGCAUUCUCUUAAUAGUGCCUGCAGCUGGAAUCCCCUGUGGAUAGGGAGGAAGGAUGCAGAAGUCACACUACUGGAUAUGGCUUUAGUAUCUGUGCAUAGUGGCAAGUAAUAAAAACAAGGACAAAGCCUUUUACAAUACUGGAAUGGGAACCUUCCCCUCCCUAACUGCAAGGCACUUGAGAUACCAAGGUUAUAGGUGCCUUUGCAGCAGUUCAGAUAAAACUGAAUUCUUCCCUACGUCCGUACUUAGUCACUUGCCAUGUUUUACAUCAUUUCCUACGUCAGUGUGGCUGGAAAAAGUCUAAACCAGCUACUUGUGCUAUGUGAACAUAAACAAGGAUUAUAAACAGAAAUUGUCUAUAGCCAUUAAGCCUCCCUUAUUUUAAUCUGCAGAAGACCUUUAACUGCUAAACAAUGUCAAGUUCUCCAAGCAACCCUGAAUAUUACAGCAUUAAGGAUUGCUUCAUUCUGCUGCUUUCUCUCAUUUUAUUUAAUCAUUUCUGCUUCAUCCACUUCCCUUCUACAUGCUGUGUCAGGAUGUCCCAAGGAAGGGGGAGAAGAGCCAGACAAGACUUGUGUGUGGGGAGCCACAGUUGUGGCUAGUUUUAUGAAUAAGUCAGGCAGCCUGGAGAUAAGGAGCUAUUUCUUUUUACAAAGAUAGACUUAAAUUUUCCACUGGGCAUUUUUAGUUAUUGAAUAACAUAGGGCAGGCUACCAAAGGGUUCAGGAGCUCAGUACAACUCACAAAAUGACAGAUGAAUGCUUCCAGUGCACCCUGAGGAUGUAUAUCUCUGCUAACCACACCUUUAGCUGCAGUUGCCUCAAGGCUGUUCUUACAGUUGAUUGUACAGCUAAAUCAUCUGAGGAGUUUAUGGGGUUGUGGCCGGUAGGGGGCCUCUUCACCAUAACAUUGCAAGUGUGAGGCGUUUACAACUAAGCCUGCCAGUCAGUUCCUCUGCAUUUACUUUUUCAUUACAUGUUUGAGUAGCAGCCGUGUUAGUCUGUAUCCGCAAAAAGAAAAGGAGUACUUGUGGCACCUUAGAGACUAACAAAUUUAUUUGAGCAUAAGCUUUUGUGAGCUACAUCGUUGCAUCCGAUGAAGUGAGCUUGCAACCUAAACCAGACAGCUUGAGCACAAAUUUCUAAGAAUGGGGAGCCAGUAACCUACAUGGAUAACAGCACAGGUCAGGUCAAUGCAUCACUCAGCACUGAGCAAGGAGAAUGGAGCUCUUAGUACCUGUUUAAUUGGUGUGACUGUAGCUGUGCCCUUUAAAUCAAGCGUACAUUAGCUGUUACCCAUGCCCUCCACCCGUUAGUUUGUUCAUGUCCUUUAAGCUUCAUCUAUACUGAUGACUUUGGGGAAACAUAUCACUAAUGCGUUGGCCUUGGCACAAGCAAUAAGAACUUGUCUUACUGCUGGAGAUCUGUGAAUGCUGUGUGAGAGCAACAGCUGUUACUUCCUUUAAAAUAAAAAACAGAAACCCACACACACACUUGCAGCUUUUCUCAUUUUUUCUAACUGUAUUUCAGGUUCCAGGAACUAGAGAGCCAACAUUAAACCUUUGUAUAGUUUGAGGACAAAGAUUUACUUAAGACUACAUUGCCGAAAAUUACAUUUUGGAAUAAAUAUACCCUCAAAAGUAGAGACAGUGUACUAAACGCUACUUACACCUGCCUGUAGCUAAUAAUAAAAAUCUAGUUUUUAAAAAAAGCUACCUCAGCCAGUUGCACAGUUUCCUUUUUACCAAAGCCUGCAAUUAACACCAGAUUAUAAAUCAAAAUCUUAAAAGCUUAACCCUACAUCAUCAGUUUAGAAAAGUUAGUAGCAAGUCAUUUCAUAGAGCAGGGUUAAUUUUCUUUCUCUAAUUACAAAUCUAACUUGAUUAUUUCUAAAACAGAAGGUUCUACACCAGGUAUCUAAAAGAAAAUAGAAGUGAGAUAAUGGAUUUUUGUAGUCCCUGUUUCUCUGAAAGUUUAGGCUCUAUAUACAUUACAUAGUAUAGUAGCAGCCACAGAAGUUUCAGAAUGAAAUGAAAUUCAAGCAAAACAUACUCCUCUUUAUCCUUGCUUUAUAAAGAUCUUUUUAGUUUCAACUUUAUUUACUUUAAAUAUUUUAACUUUUCAUAUUAAAUUAUUAGUUUCCCUUUUUCUCCCUGAGAGGUUGCUGGUUCUUGUUUCACUAUAAGAGUUUACGUAGAAGCUUUUGCAGAAGAAUCCUCUGAGGACUUCAGCUUGUUUGUAUGCCCUAAUGGCUAAUUAUAAUAAUGGAUUAACCCAUUGCUUUCAGAUGACAGGGUUUCAGCGUAGCAGCCCUGUUAGUCUAGUUUAGUCUCUCUGCAGUUUCACCCGUGAAACUUAAUGAACUGGGGUCUCUCAAGUACAAAUGUAGUGCCCUGAUCACAGGCCGCCUUCCUCUCCUAUUGUUCACUCACUAUUUCUUAGAAAGACUGUGCAGGAAUGAGGUUUGGGUGGCUGGGAAGAGUCCAUUGCUUUUAAAAUUGCUAUCUCAUGAGGAAGGUCUAUCUGCAUUCUGCUUUUUUGAGAUCUACAGGUCUUAUUUUAAAAAAUGUCUCAGUGAUCAAUAUUUUGGGGUCCCUGGCUAAACCAAUGUUCUCUUCUGCUGGUACUGUGGAUGCAAGUUAACAAAUCAGAGCUAUGUUGAUUUCCCUUGAAGUUGCUGUUGCAGAGAUCAAGGUGUUUUGAGAUGAUCAGAGGUAUUUUGAGCUUUCUGAAAGGGCAUUACAAACAGUGAAAAAUUUAAAAAAAUUUUUUUAAAGGCAAGUUGUAAGUAAAUGAGAAAAAAUGGACUUAAAAGCACAAGUUGAUACAUAAAUACUGAACAGCUUUUGUUAAAAACAGUUGUUACAAAGUAACAGAGAUCAAAAAUUUACAAGAUCCUUUCAAUACUAAGCACAUGUCUGAAUUACACCUUACUCAUGGGUGUAGUCUCAUUGCAGUCAAUAGGACAACUCUGUGGAGUAAAAUGAGCAGGAUUUGGCCCUAAAUCUAUCAGCUACUGAAGAAGGCUGCUGCAAUACUGAAGAAACCCUGGUGUGCAGUGAGGAUGUUACACUGGUCUCCUUGCCCCUCCAGAUACUUAUUGAGGGGAAUCAGAACUCCUGUCUCCCUCCCUCCUUGGGAUAUGACUCUUUUGUCUUUCCUCUAUUCUAGUAGUUCUCAACUUUUUCACGUCACCAUACCAGGACAGGCCCACUGACCCUUCCUUCCCACUUGGCCAAGACAGCCCCGCCUGCUCCAGAAGGGGAAGUGCUGGAUGGUUGUGACUUUGAGGUCAAGAACCCUUGCUCUGUUCCUGGAUGUGCUUUUGUCUUGUGUGUUCAUUAUUCCUGUAUCAAAGGGAGCAUGGAAUGUUCCUGUGAUCAAUGCACUACUCAUUCUAAAAGCAGGCAGAAUGAGAGGAAUGACAGGCAGGCCUGGUGGAAAAAAGCAUUCUUGGGCAAUAAUUUGACUUGCCUCUGAUGAAUGCAUUUUUUUGAGCCCUAGUAAUGCAAUCAUGUUUUAGUGCUGGAGCUUUCCAGAUUUGGUGCUGUAGGAGAACUAAGGUAAUGUUGCCAGGUUGCAGUAUAAUAGAGGCAAUGCAAUUGUGUGUUAGUACUGGAGGUUCUUAUAUGCUUUGAUAGUCAUGUUCCAGAGCUGAAGUUUUCAUGAGAGAGAGAGAGUGCAUUUUGUUGCUGUGCUGCAGCGUUGUAGAGGUAAUGGAGUUCUUGCAAAAGGAAUGUUUUAGCAUGUUAUAUGUAUAGUGUAAGAUGGUCGAAGAUACAACAUAUCUCAUGUCUGAUCUAAGUCUACAUAGCUCACACUAAAGGAUUAGGACCCUUUUAAAUCUCUCUUCUAUACACUAGUGUUCAGAUAACAUUUAAGCCACUGUUUUUGGCUUUAGACAUGUCUCUACAUGGAUUUGAGCUCUUAUCUUUCAGCUUUGCUGUAGCUGCUGGGUUGAUCUGAACUUUAUGUACAUAUAUCCUCUGAUAAAUGUGUUUUGGAAAGAUGCUUGGAGCCUGUGGAAGGUAUAAAAGGGUUUAAGCAGUAGCACUACCAGGAGUUGUUCAGCUACUAACUCAUCCUGUGUCAGGCUGUGGUGAUGUGCUUUUUAUUCUCUUUGUUGUAAGAGGCUGACCGGAGUAUUCAUCUAUUUUAAUGGCUUUGCUGGAAGCUCUCUGACUGGGCUUGUCUUAUGAGGGAGCUGAGUGACUGAUGUGUUGGCAUGUAAGUUUUCCUUUCCCAUACAGAUGCAACAUUUCCCAUAUUUCCUGACUGUUAAUCUAUUCCCAUCUUAUUUAAGAGCGCUGUCCCUCUGUGUUGGCGGGAGAGUGUCUUCCGCCAACAUAGUGCUGUCCACACCAGCACUUUUGUCGAUGAAACUUUUGUAAGUCGGGGAUGUGUUGUUGUUUUUUUCACACUUCUGACCAACAAAAGUUUUACCGACAAAAGUGUUAGUGUAGACAAAGCCUAAGUGACUUGUUCAAGAGGUACAAUGUGGGUGAGAUAAUAGCUCUUAUUGGACCAACUUGUGUUGGUGAGAGAGACAAGCUUUCGAGCUGCACAGAGCUCUUUUCAGGUCUGGCAUGGCAUUCUGAGUGUCAAAGCUAAAUGCAAGGUGGAACAGAUUGUUUCGCAUAAAUAGUUAGCACACAUUGUAAAAAGAAAAGGAGUACUU